This 1420-nucleotide ribosomal RNA is filed under the name Lactiplantibacillus plantarum. Its description in RNAcentral is "bacterial SSU rRNA". It matches the Rfam family "Bacterial small subunit ribosomal RNA". The record is from RNAcentral. Lineage: Bacteria; Bacillati; Bacillota; Bacilli; Lactobacillales; Lactobacillaceae.
GAACUCUGGUAUUGAUUGGUGCUUGCAUCAUGAUUUACAUUUGAGUGAGUGGCGAACUGGUGAGUAACACGUGGGAAACCUGCCCAGAAGCGGGGGAUAACACCUGGAAACAGAUGCUAAUACCGCAUAACAACUUGGACCGCAUGGUCCGAGUUUGAAAGAUGGCUUCGGCUAUCACUUUUGGAUGGUCCCGCGGCGUAUUAGCUAGAUGGUGGGGUAACGGCUCACCAUGGCAAUGAUACGUAGCCGACCUGAGAGGGUAAUCGGCCACAUUGGGACUGAGACACGGCCCAAACUCCUACGGGAGGCAGCAGUAGGGAAUCUUCCACAAUGGACGAAAGUCUGAUGGAGCAACGCCGCGUGAGUGAAGAAGGGUUUCGGCUCGUAAAACUCUGUUGUUAAAGAAGAACAUAUCUGAGAGUAACUGUUCAGGUAUUGACGGUAUUUAACCAGAAAGCCACGGCUAACUACGUGCCAGCAGCCGCGGUAAUACGUAGGUGGCAAGCGUUGUCCGGAUUUAUUGGGCGUAAAGCGAGCGCAGGCGGUUUUUUAAGUCUGAUGUGAAAGCCUUCGGCUCAACCGAAGAAGUGCAUCGGAAACUGGGAAACUUGAGUGCAGAAGAGGACAGUGGAACUCCAUGUGUAGCGGUGAAAUGCGUAGAUAUAUGGAAGAACACCAGUGGCGAAGGCGGCUGUCUGGUCUGUAACUGACGCUGAGGCUCGAAAGUAUGGGUAGCAAACAGGAUUAGAUACCCUGGUAGUCCAUACCGUAAACGAUGAAUGCUAAGUGUUGGAGGGUUUCCGCCCUUCAGUGCUGCAGCUAACGCAUUAAGCAUUCCGCCUGGGGAGUACGGCCGCAAGGCUGAAACUCAAAGGAAUUGACGGGGGCCCGCACAAGCGGUGGAGCAUGUGGUUUAAUUCGAAGCUACGCGAAGAACCUUACCAGGUCUUGACAUACUAUGCAAAUCUAAGAGAUUAGACGUUCCCUUCGGGGACAUGGAUACAGGUGGUGCAUGGUUGUCGUCAGCUCGUGUCGUGAGAUGUUGGGUUAAGUCCCGCAACGAGCGCAACCCUUAUUAUCAGUUGCCAGCAUUAAGUUGGGCACUCUGGUGAGACUGCCGGUGACAAACCGGAGGAAGGUGGGGAUGACGUCAAAUCAUCAUGCCCCUUAUGACCUGGGCUACACACGUGCUACAAUGGAUGGUACAACGAGUUGCGAACUCGCGAGAGUAAGCUAAUCUCUUAAAGCCAUUCUCAGUUCGGAUUGUAGGCUGCAACUCGCCUACAUGAAGUCGGAAUCGCUAGUAAUCGCGGAUCAGCAUGCCGCGGUGAAUACGUUCCCGGGCCUUGUACACACCGCCCGUCACACCAUGAGAGUUUGUAACACCCAAAGUCGGUGGGGUAACCUUUUAGGAACCAGC